RNAcentral lists this small nucleolar RNA (121 nucleotides) under Echinops telfairi (small Madagascar hedgehog). RNAcentral's name for it is "Small nucleolar RNA SNORA61 (ENSETEG00000024549.1)". The record is from RNAcentral. Lineage: Eukaryota; Metazoa; Chordata; Mammalia; Afrosoricida; Tenrecidae.
AACUUUCAGAUUCCGCACCCAUCAGAUCUAAAAUCUGGUCUGAGUGGUUAUAAAAGGAGGAACAGUAAAACUGACACAGAUUGAAGCUCUUUUGUGACAUACAAGCUAGUUUCAAACAAAC